UUAAUUUACCGGUUUUAUGUCCCAGCGUGGGAUGUGAAGUGUGAUGCACACUUAACGUUAGGUUCGUUCAUUUCAUUCACAUCGGUCAAUUCUAUGGAUUCGAAAGACGUAAGCCGAAACGAAAGAGUUUCGCGGUAAGGACGAGUUGGUUCGUUCGGAAUAAUUUACGUGCGGAUGGCACUCGAUCGUUCGAUUUUCACGGUUGCAGCCCAGUGCAGUGGCGCUCGCGCUCUCUGACAGUUGGAGGGAGGGGGUAGGUAAGCGAGCGUGGGCGCGGGACGGGAGUCGUCGACGCAACCUGUAGCGGCAAGGACACGUCUUGGGCUAGUAUUUGUCACAAGGUUAAACACGUAGAUAGUUGAUGGGCAUUCUUGCUGCGAUAAUAUUUAUUCUAUAUCAUAAAUUGUGUUACGCACAGUGGAUACUGAUGUUGUUGUUCUCGCAGUUGCAUGUAUAUCACAAUUGCCGGAACUCCAGGAGUUAUGGGUACAUAUUGGCACAGGAAAGAAUCACCAGUUCCUCUCGUGCCAUGCUAUUGCAGCUUCUUUAGGACCAGAAAGGACAGAAGUUUUGCCAUUCUUCCACGCCUUUUCCGGUUGCGACACUGUUUCUUUUAUGUGUGGAAAGGGAAAAAAAGCGUAUUUCAAGCUUGGAGCGCAUAUCCUGCUGUAACGGAGGGAUUUAAAUAUGGCAAACAAGGCAAUAUUGAGCAGGCGUUGCCAAUAUUGGAAAAAUUUGUUAUAUUCUUGUAUGACAAAUCAGGUACAAGUACGAGUGUAAAUGAGUGCCGAAAAGUGCUAUUUACAAAAAGAAGUCUCCAGUUAGAGAAUCUGUCUCCAACGGAAGAUGCGCUCCGUAAACAUAUUCUCCGUGCAGCUUACCAAGGAGGCUAUGUUUGGGGACAGAUUAUAGCCCCUCAGCAACAGCUACCAUCCCCUGCUGACUGGGGCUGGUCCAAAGAAAAUGGAUAUUGGGAGCCCAUAUGGACAAGCCUACCUGCGGCGGCUGCUGCUUGUUUAGAGCUAAUUCGUUGCCGCUGCAAAACAAAAUGCGCAGGGAGGUGCAACUGUAUUAAAAAAAAACUAAAAUGCACGGACCUAUGUGCAUGCAGUGGCAAUUGCGAAAAAUAGAUAAAUAUCUUAAUUUAAUCCGCAUUUUUUUGUAACCUAACCUAACCUAACCAUUUUAAUUUUAUCACAUUUAUAAUAACUAUACUGGCAAAAGUUUGCCCAACAUCUUUAUUUAUAUAUUUAAUUUAUAUUUGUAUAUAAUAUAUAUCACUUCCAGAAGUAAUUUGUUAAUGUAAUCUACAAUCAGAAGAAUAACAACUUAUCAGAAAUCAUCUAAACAUACUUAAAAAUCCUAAAAGCUGCAUACCGCUCUUACAAUGCAGGUACGCCGCGCGACAAAAAACAUUUUUUUUACAGAUUUAUAAAAGAAAAAUGUUUGACAUGUUUACUAUUCUAUAUAGUAUGAUAACUGGGCUAUUCGCAGGUAUUUUUUUUCUAGAGAUAAUCCUUAUAGUUUUAAUUUUGUAGAGGAUUUUCGAAAAAAAAAGUGAGAAGAUUUUUUUUGAUUUUUGAAUUUCUCGAUUUUUUUGUAUGGGUGAGUAAAAAUUUAGGCACAGAAAUGAAUUCUUCAUCCCUGUAUUACACGAAAAAGACACCAAACUUGAUAUAGUUGCGAGAUGUAUGCAGAUAUAAAGCUUAGAGUGAGGCGCG
Molecule: long non-coding RNA, 1721 nt
Organism: Cydia fagiglandana
Lineage: Eukaryota; Metazoa; Arthropoda; Insecta; Lepidoptera; Tortricidae
Exons: 3
Source: RefSeq, a predicted model, not a curated record